GGAGGCUGGUGAUGGACGCACCAUCCGCCAACCGGGUCAGGUUCGGAAGAAAGCAGCCCUAACGGAUUUGGCGCGGGUCGUCAUCCAGUCUCCUAC
Molecule: signal recognition particle RNA, 96 nt
Filed under: Candidatus Tokpelaia hoelldobleri
Lineage: Bacteria; Pseudomonadati; Pseudomonadota; Alphaproteobacteria; Hyphomicrobiales
Description: Candidatus Tokpelaia hoelldoblerii Bacterial small signal recognition particle RNA
Rfam family: Bacterial small signal recognition particle RNA
About the family: The signal recognition particle (SRP) is a universally conserved ribonucleoprotein involved in the co-translational targeting of proteins to membranes. Archaeal SRP consists of a 7S RNA and homologues of the eukaryotic SRP19 and SRP54 proteins. In most bacteria, the SRP consists of a 4.5S RNA and the Ffh protein (a homologue of the eukaryotic SRP54 protein).
Source: Rfam by way of RNAcentral